GGAUGUGAGGGUGAUCUGGCUGUGAGAUCUGUCACCUCAUUGAUUUCCAGGGUUGAUUUGGCUGAUCUGACUGUCAAGGCAGGUGUCCCCUUCCUCCCUCACCACUCCACAUGCAUCCCUCCUGAAGCUGCAUGCUCAGUCCAAAGAGGACAACUUUCCCUGAUACAGGAGGGCUGUUCUGUCAUGGGUACACAAGUCACUGUGCUCCCCUUCUAGAACCUCCAAACAAGUUCUCCAGGUCUGUUUUUAGGAGAACUUAAGGUAGUCAAGCUUCCAAGACUCCACAGACAUCCAAAUAAGGCACAGCAGGUGGCACUUUGACUUACUAU
This 329-nucleotide small nuclear RNA is filed under the name Neogale vison (American mink). Its description in RNAcentral is "Neovison vison (American mink) 7SK RNA (ENSNVIG00000013281.1)". It matches the Rfam family "7SK RNA". Rfam says of the family: 7SK was discovered as an abundant small nuclear RNA in the mid-70s but a possible function has only recently been suggested. Two independent studies have found that 7SK RNA binds the CDK9/cyclin T complex (known as elongation factor P-TEFb). The record is from Rfam by way of RNAcentral. Lineage: Eukaryota; Metazoa; Chordata; Mammalia; Carnivora; Mustelidae.